GAUGAAGAACGUAGCGAAAUGCGAUAAGUAAUGUGAAUUGCAGAAUUCAGUGAAUCAUCGAAUCUUUGAACGCACAUUGCGCCCGCUAGUAUUCUGGCGGGCAUGCCUGUUCGAGCGUCAUUUCAACCAUCAAGCCCUGUUUAGGCUUGUGUUGGGGCCCUGCGGUUGCCGCAGCCCCCUAAAUGCAGUGGCGGGCUCGUUGUCACUCCGAGCGCAGUAGCGUAUCUCGCUCUGGGCGUGGCGGCGGGUGCUAGCCGUGACACACCCACUAAGGUUGACCUCGGAUCAGGUAGGAAUACCCGCUGAACUUAAGCAUAUCAAUAAGCGGAGGA
This 332-nucleotide unclassified non-coding RNA is filed under the name soil metagenome. RNAcentral describes it as "partial contains 5.8S ribosomal RNA, internal transcribed spacer 2, and large subunit ribosomal RNA". The stretch from base 1 to 120 matches the Rfam family "5.8S ribosomal RNA", at positions 35 to 154 of the family's 154-position model. The record is from RNAcentral.